UACGUAGGUGGCAAGCGUUAUCCGGAUUUACUGGGCGUAAAGGGAGCGUAGGCGGAUACUUAAGUGGGAUGUGAAAUACCCGGGCUCAACCUGGGUGCUGCAUUCCAAACUGAGUAUCUAGAGUGUGGGAGAGGAGAGUGGAAUUCCUAGUGUAGCGGUGAAAUGCGUAGAGAUUAGGAAGAACACCAGUGGCGAAGGCGACUCUCUGGACCAUAACUGACGCUGAGGCUCGAAAGCGUGGGGAGCAAACAGG
Molecule: ribosomal RNA, 253 nt
Filed under: uncultured bacterium
Lineage: Bacteria
Description: partial 16S ribosomal RNA
Rfam family: Bacterial small subunit ribosomal RNA
Source: RNAcentral